RNAcentral lists this ribosomal RNA (883 nucleotides) under Cortinarius sp. 11 RT-2012. Its description in RNAcentral is "eukaryotic LSU rRNA". The stretch from base 374 to 527 matches the Rfam family "5.8S ribosomal RNA". The record is from RNAcentral. Lineage: Eukaryota; Fungi; Basidiomycota; Agaricomycetes; Agaricales; Cortinariaceae.
AGUGAGGUCUCCGGAUUGGCUUUGGCGCGCCGGCAACGGCAUGCUAUUGCUGAAAAGUUGAUCAAACUUGGUCAUUUAGAGGAAGUAAAAGUCGUAACAAGGUUUCCGUAGGUGAACCUGCGGAAGGAUCAUUAUUGAAAUAAACCUGAUGGGUUGCUGCUGGCUCUCUAGGGAGCAUGUGCACACUUGUCAUCUUUAUAUCUCCACCUGUGCACCUUUUGUAGAUCUGGAUAUCUUUCUGAAUGCCUGGCAUUCGGGUUUGAGGAUUGACUUUUGUCUUUCCUUACAUUUCCAGGCCUAUGUUUUCUUCAUAUACACCAAUUUAUGUUAUAGAAUGUAAUGAAAAGGGCCUUUGUGCCUACAAACCUUAUACAACUUUCAGCAACGGAUCUCUUGGCUCUCGCAUCGAUGAAGAACGCAGCGAAAUGCGAUAAGUAAUGUGAAUUGCAGAAUUCAGUGAAUCAUCGAAUCUUUGAACGCACCUUGCGCUCCUUGGUAUUCCGAGGAGCAUGCCUGUUUGAGUGUCAUUAAUAUAUCAACCUCCNCAGGUUUUUGACUUGUCGAGUGUUUGGAUGUGGGGGUCUUUUGCUGGUCUCUUUUGAGGUCGGCUCCCCUAAAAUGCAUUAGCGGAACAAUUUGUUGACCCGUUCAUUGGUGUGAUAACUAUCUACGCUUUUGACGUGAAACAGGUUCAGCUUCUAACAGUCCAUUGACUUGGACAAAUUUUCAUUAAUGUGACCUCAAAUCAGGUAGGACUACCCGCUGAACUUAAGCAUAUCAAUAAGCGGAGGAAAAGAAACUAACAAGGAUUCCCCUAGUAACUGCGAGUGAAGCGGGAAAAGCUCAAAUUUAAAAUCUGGCAGUCUUUGGCUGUCCGAGUUGU